RNAcentral lists this ribosomal RNA (249 nucleotides) under uncultured bacterium. RNAcentral describes it as "partial 16S ribosomal RNA". It matches the Rfam family "Bacterial small subunit ribosomal RNA", at positions 524 to 776 of the family's 1533-position model. The record is from RNAcentral.
UACGUAGGGUGCAAGCGUUGUCCGGAAUUAUUGGGCGUAAAGAGCUCGUAGGCGGUCUGUCACGUCGGCUGUGAAAACCCGAGGCUCAACCUCGGCCUGCAGUCGAUACGGGCAGACUAGAGUUCGGUAGGGGAGACUGGAAUUCCUGGUGUAGCGGUGAAAUGCGCAGAUAUCAGGAGGAACACCGGUGGCGAAGCGGUCUCUGGCCGAAACUGACGCUGAGGUGCGAAAGCGUGGGGAGCAAACAGG